Molecule: transfer RNA, 69 nt
Filed under: Ictidomys tridecemlineatus (thirteen-lined ground squirrel)
Lineage: Eukaryota; Metazoa; Chordata; Mammalia; Rodentia; Sciuridae
Description: Spermophilus tridecemlineatus (thirteen-lined ground squirrel) tRNA
Rfam family: tRNA
About the family: Transfer RNA (tRNA) molecules are approximately 80 nucleotides in length. Their secondary structure includes four short double-helical elements and three loops (D, anti-codon, and T loops).
Source: Rfam by way of RNAcentral
GGAGUUGUGGCUCAGCAGUAGAGCGCUCGCCUAGCACACGUGAGGCACUGGGUUCAAUUCUCAGCACCA